UACGGAGGGUGCAAGCGUUGUCCGGAUUUAUUGGGUUUAAAGGGUGCGUAGGCGGCCUAUUAAGUCAGUGGUGAAAGCCCAUAGCUCAACUAUGGAACUGCCAUUGAUACUGAUAGGCUUGAGUACAGACGAGGUUGGCGGAAUUGAUGCUGUAGCGGUGAAAUGCAUAGAUAGCAUCAAGAACACCGAUUGCGUAGGCAGCUAACUAGGCUGUAACUGACGCUGAGGCACGAAAGCGUGGGGAGCGAACAGG
RNAcentral lists this ribosomal RNA (253 nucleotides) under uncultured bacterium. RNAcentral's name for it is "partial 16S ribosomal RNA". It matches the Rfam family "Bacterial small subunit ribosomal RNA", at positions 524 to 776 of the family's 1533-position model. The record is from RNAcentral. RNAcentral also lists the same sequence under 1 other name.